Molecule: non-coding RNA, 620 nt
Organism: Lupinus albus (white lupine)
Lineage: Eukaryota; Viridiplantae; Streptophyta; Magnoliopsida; Fabales; Fabaceae
Source: the annotation of a GenBank genome assembly
UCCCUAAACCCUCCCUUCUCUUCUCCUUCGUCUCCGGCGGGAUUGGCCAUGGUAGCAGCGGCGGCAGCGAUGUUGUAACUGGUUCGCGGCAUGAGAUUGUCUCCUCUUUUUUCUCACCUUGUUAUUUCCUUUAGGGUGAGAAGAUGAAGGAUGGCGGCUACAGCUCCGUUCAUGGCAACCUUGAAAUCACGGUGACGAGCCGGCGCUGAGAACAGUUUAAAGGAUCGUGUCGUUCAAGGAGAUGAUUCUGAAGUCCCACGUUUGGAACCCGAUUCCUCUUCUAUUCAGAUUCUAUUUAUCCCUUAUUGUCUAUUGAUCUUGUUGUUGUUCUAUAUUGGUCUUUGACUCUGGUUGUAGAAUUUUGAUUGUGGAAAUUCUAUGUGAUAUCUGAGUUCUUUAUCUGAUUUCUAAGUGAUAUGUGUGGGUGUUUGAUGGAUGGGAAGAUGAAUGAAGGAGAUGGGAAAGACCUUUCAUGAAGCACUCACAUAAUAUUAACCAUCUCUAUGCUGUUGUUCACGUGUAAUAGUGUCUCUCUCCUUUUUGGUCAUUUUGUGCCUUCUUUUAUAUUUGUUCACGAGGAACCCUUUCUUUGCCCGUCAGUGUUUAUUACAUGAUUGAUU